GAUGAAGAACGCAGCGAAAUGCGAUACGUAAUGUGAAUUGCAGAAUUCAGUGAAUCAUCGAGUCUUUGAACGCACAUUGCGCCCCCUGGUAUUCCGGGGGGCAUGCCUGUCCGAGCGUCAUUGCUGCCCUCAAGCACGGCUUGUGUGUUGGGCCUCCGUCCUCCUCCCGGGGGACGGGCCCGAAAGGCAGCGGCGGCACCGCGUCCGGUCCUCGAGCGUAUGGGGCUUCGUCACCCGCUCUUGUAGGCCCGGCCGGCGCUUGCCGACACAUCAAUCUUUUUUCCAGGUUGACCUCGGAUCAGGUAGGGAUACCCGCUGAACUUAAGCAUAUAAUAAGCGAGGA
RNAcentral lists this unclassified non-coding RNA (343 nucleotides) under soil metagenome. Its description in RNAcentral is "partial contains 5.8S ribosomal RNA, internal transcribed spacer 2, and large subunit ribosomal RNA". The stretch from base 1 to 120 matches the Rfam family "5.8S ribosomal RNA", at positions 35 to 154 of the family's 154-position model. The record is from RNAcentral.